AAGGACCAAGCUCGCACAUGGUUCGCCUUUCCCUGAGAUCCUCGCGGCCGCACGGAGACAGAGCUCGCAGCAGCGGCACACAGCGGAGCGGCGGUCCGCCUGCCUCCGCCGCGCCUAUGGAUUCCUCGUCGCAGCCGCAGCCGCAGUCUCCUCCCGCCGGGGGCGACCCGUCGGAGGACGGCGCGGCCGCGGAGCUGCCCCGGCUCACCGUGACGCUGGUGGAGCAGAUGAAGGUGGAGGCGCGGGUAGCCGACAUCUACCGCGUCCUCUUCGACGCCGCGCCCAACGCCAAGUCCGCCAUGCUAGAGCUGUGGCGCGAUCAGCAUGUCAAGUAUUUGACGAAAGGGCUGAGGCAUCUUGCACCUAGCUUCCAUGUGCUCGAUGCCAAUCGGCCUUGGUUAUGCUAUUGGAUGGUUCAUGGGCUUGCAUUGCUGGAUGAAACGCUUGACGAUGACCUCGAGAACGAUAUUGUGGACUUCUUGUCUCGAUGCCAGGACAAACAUGGUGGAUAUGGUGGUGGACCUGGGCAGUUACCUCAUCUCGCUACAUCGUACGCUGCUGUAAAUACACUUGUAACCAUAGGGAGUGAAAGAGCACUAUCAUCAAUAAAAAGGGACAAUCUGUACAAGUUUAUGCUUCUAAUGAAGGACAAAUCAGGUGCUUUCAGAAUGCAUGAUGGUGGUGAAAUUGAUGUCCGCGCUUGCUAUACUGCAAUAUCGGUUGCCAGCCUCGUGAACAUUCUUGAUGAUGAGCUGGCAAAAGGUGUUGGAAACUACAUAGCAAGUUGUCAAACUUAUGAAGGUGGGAUUGCGGGGGAACCUUCUGCUGAAGCUCAUGGUGGGUACACUUUUUGUGGGCUGGCUGCAAUGGUCCUGCUUAAUGAAGUGGAGAAACUCGAUUUGCCUAGCUUGAUUGGCUGGGUGGCAUUUCGUCAAGGAGUGGAAUGCGGAUUCCAAGGACGGACAAAUAAAUUGGUUGAUGGUUGCUACUCCUUUUGGCAGGGAGCUGCUAUUGCUUUAGCUCAAAAGCUAAUGGCAGGGUCUGAUGAACAAUCUAAACAAUCGCAGCCCAGCAAAUUAUCCUCGGUAGAUGAUUCUUGUGGGACCAGCUCAUCUGGAUUGGCUUCAGAAAAAACUUCUAUUGUGGAUUAUGCGAAGAUUGGAUUUGAUUUUAUGAAGCAGAGCAACAAAAUAGGUCCGCUGUUCCACAACAUUGCUCUGCAACAAUACAUCCUGCUUUGCGCACAGGUGCCGGAGGGAGGAUUGAGGGAUAAACCUGGAAAGAACAGAGACCACUAUCACUCAUGCUACUGCCUGAGUGGCCUCUCAGUUAGCCAGUACAGCGCAAUGACAGGUUCCGUUUCAUGCCCCUUGCCGCAGCACAUGCUUGGCCCAUACUCGAACUUGCUAGAGCAAAUUCAUCCGCUCUACAACGUUGUGGUAGAGAAAUACGAGGAGGCCUAUGAGUUCUUUUCGAGCGAGUGAUCAAAUGUACACCUUUACAGUCUCAGAUAGCUAGGAUGAUCUGUGAUAUUGCAUGGCUUCAAGUACUGGGGAUAUUUCUGCGACGUGUCCGUUUGUUGUAUACUAGCAGUCAUUUGAAUAAUUGGAUUAUGCUCCUUGCACCGUGUAUGACUGAUUCACUAUGAGUGCAUGGUGAGAGGCUGAGCUCUUUUUGUCACAUGUCUCGGGGAUGUGUUAUUGAUAGCAUUGCUGACUGGUGGCAAGACAUUCUCUUCCUAACUCGUGAUCGGCAUCAAAACCUUCAAAUGCAACGUUGGAUAGGAAAGCUAUGUGCCAUAUGCCUUGUGCGACUGGAUAUACUCACAAAGUGGCAAUGCAAAUAUAUGUUUCGUGAC
This 1858-nucleotide ribosomal RNA is filed under the name Triticum aestivum (bread wheat). RNAcentral describes it as "partial small subunit ribosomal RNA". Lineage: Eukaryota; Viridiplantae; Streptophyta; Magnoliopsida; Poales; Poaceae. The record is from RNAcentral.